RNAcentral lists this unclassified non-coding RNA (236 nucleotides) under Hevea brasiliensis (rubber tree). Lineage: Eukaryota; Viridiplantae; Streptophyta; Magnoliopsida; Malpighiales; Euphorbiaceae. The record is from RNAcentral.
AAAAAAAAAAAAAAAACUGUAAUACAAAUUAAGUUGUUUACUGGUUGCAUUGAGACGUUGCUUGGUUGAAGGUGUGAUUUGUUGGAUACAAUUUUUGGGCAGAUCAUUAUAUUGAAACUCUUCAUUGAUAUAUUUUUUGAAAGUUCAUUCUUAAUUUGGUGCCUUUAAUUUGUUGGCCCUAGUGUCACAUUACAUAAUUUCUAGUGAACUCAUUUUGUCUCUCUUGUCCUUAGAAU